GACGAACGCUGGCGGCGUGCUUAACACAUGCAAGUCGAACGGAAAGGCCCUGCUUUUGUGGGGUGCUCGAGUGGCGAACGGGUGAGUAACACGUGAGUAACCUGCCCUUGACUUUGGGAUAACUUCAGGAAACUGGGGCUAAUACCGGAUAGGAGCUCCUGCUGCAUGGUGGGGGUUGGAAAGUUUCGGCGGUUGGGGAUGGACUCGCGGCUUAUCAGCUUGUUGGUGGGGUAGUGGCUUACCAAGGCUUUGACGGGUAGCCGGCCUGAGAGGGUGACCGGGCUCAAGGGGACUGAGAUAGGGACCAGACGCCUACGGGAGGCAGCAGUGGGGAAUAUUGCACAAUGGGCGGAAGCCUGAUGCAGCAACGCCGCGUGCGGGAUGACGGCCUUCGGGUUGUAAACCGCUUUCGCCUGUGACGAAGCGUGAGUGACGGUAAUGGGUAAAGAAGCACCGGCUAACUACGUG
Molecule: ribosomal RNA, 468 nt
Filed under: uncultured bacterium
Lineage: Bacteria
Description: partial 16S ribosomal RNA
Rfam family: Bacterial small subunit ribosomal RNA
Source: RNAcentral